This 997-nucleotide long non-coding RNA is filed under the name Dasypus novemcinctus (nine-banded armadillo). RNAcentral describes it as "lncRNA (ENSDNOG00000051962.1)". Lineage: Eukaryota; Metazoa; Chordata; Mammalia; Cingulata; Dasypodidae. The record is from RNAcentral.
UCUGUCAUAUUCUCAGAGGUGCAGUUACUGCACCCUGCCCCUUCCUCCCAGGGUUCUGGACCUUUCCUCCUGUAAGAAGCUGAGGGCUGCAAUCAUGGGUUUGGAUCAGGACAUAGUAGGCUCAGAGACCAAACACUUGGCACCUGAAAUGACAACAGGGUUUGAAGCAGAAGCAUCCACACCCCCUGGCCCCGGUCCACACCCGGGACAGAUGGAGUGGCCUUGGAGGAUGAACCCACCUGACCGAGGUGAAGGCAGCUGAGUGGGGCAUGGUCCCACCGAGGCCCUGCAGAAGGUGAGGGGAAGGCAGCAUGAUGCGUCGCAAGUGAGCCACGAUCAAGAGGGUCACUGAUGGGAGUUUUGCACGUGGCUCUGCCCUUUACUGGCUAAAAUGCUGGGCAUGUUCCUAACCUCUCCCUCUGCUUCCUCAUCAUAAAACGGUUAUGCUAAUGUACUUGGGAAAGCACAAUUUCAAAGCUCGAAUAAGUUAAUAUUGAAAAGAUCUCAGAACACUGCCUGACAUGGAAUAAAUGCUAUUGAAAUGUUUGUUCCUCCUGUCUCUUCCAAUGCUUUCAAAAUGUAUUUAAUUUAAAGAUUAUUCUAUUAAAUAUGGCAUGUGCUACUUUACAAGACAAAGCAAAACAUACUAUCUAAGAAAAUAAAUUCAAACGCGGUUUCUCAAUCGUGUGGUUUGUGGGUGCCAAGAACACGCAUAACAGAAAUUCUUAAGCUAAACCAAUUUUCCAGAGAAUUUGAUUAAGUCUUGUCAUUUCAAUGCUAAAAGGAAAAUUAGAGUAGUGAUUACUGGCUUCAAGACUGGUGAAAGUUAAGAUUCUGUGUGUGUAUCUAUAUGUUUAUAAAAAUUCCAGAAAAUUAAGUUUCUCUAAGUGGGAGAGGUUUAUGUGCACAUGGGCUGCCAUCUAGUGGCAGUAAAGUCAUAUUCCAUUAACUGAGAUCCUGCACUUGGGAAUUCAGGCAAAGCCUCGGGAAAAAAUUG